Molecule: long non-coding RNA, 228 nt
Filed under: Elaeis guineensis (African oil palm)
Lineage: Eukaryota; Viridiplantae; Streptophyta; Magnoliopsida; Arecales; Arecaceae
Description: long non-coding RNA (EGUI_LNC049758)
Source: RNAcentral
UGUGGAGAAGUUGGGAUGCCAAAAGUUGACGUCCCUUGGAGAUUAUGUGGCGCCCCUUUGUUACCUAUUUAAAAGGGGCGCUAUACCUUGAUUCUAUGCCCAAUUUCUGGCUGAGAGUUGCAUGACGAUGUGAGGAAAAUGAGAGAAAAAAGUUUGGAUAAAGACAAGGAAAAAAGGAGAGAAAAAUGGAAAGGAAAGAGUAAAUGUCCAACUCUUGGACCAAGAGGA